This 633-nucleotide ribosomal RNA is filed under the name uncultured bacterium. RNAcentral describes it as "bacterial SSU rRNA". It matches the Rfam family "Bacterial small subunit ribosomal RNA", at positions 1 to 603 of the family's 1533-position model. The record is from RNAcentral.
GGAUUCGAUUAGAGUUUGAUCCUGGCUCAGAAUGAACGCUGGCGGCGUGCUUAACACAUGCAAGUCGUACGAGAACUCUUCUGCUUGCAGAAGAUAGUAAAGUGGCGCACGGGUGAGUAACGCGUAGGUAAUCUACCUUCGAAUUUGGGAUAACGUUGCGAAAGCGACGCUAAUACCGGAUAAUAUCAUCUCUUCUUCGGGUGAGAUGAUCAAAGGUGGCCUCUACAUGUAAGCUACUGUUUGAAGAUGAGCCUGCGUACCAUUAGCUUGUUGGUGGGGUAAAAGCCUACCAAGGCAACGAUGGUUAGCUGGUCUGAGAGGAUGAUCAGCCACACUGGAACUGACACACGGUCCAGACUCCUACGGGAGGCAGCAGUGAGGAAUUUUGCGCAAUGGGGGAAACCCUGACGCAGCAACGCCGCGUGAGUGAUGAAGGCCUUCGGGUCGUAAAGCUCUGUCAAGUGGGAAGAACCUACAAAGUGCUAAUAUCACUUUGUACUGACGGUACCAUUGAAGGAAGCACCGGCUAACUCCGUGCCAGCAGCCGCGGUAAUACGGGGGGUGCAAGCGUUAAUCGGAAUUACUGGGCGUAAAGCGUGCGUAGGCGGUUCGUUAAGUCAGAUGUGAAAGCCC